Molecule: ribosomal RNA, 493 nt
Filed under: uncultured bacterium
Lineage: Bacteria
Description: bacterial SSU rRNA
Rfam family: Bacterial small subunit ribosomal RNA
Source: RNAcentral
CUCAGGGAUGAACGCUAGCGGCAGGCUUAAUACGAUGCAAGUCGUGGGGCAGCAUGAGUAGCAAUACUUGAUGGCGACCGGCAAACGGGUGAGGAACACGUACACAACCUUCCUUCAAGCGGGGAAUAGCCCAGAGAAAUUUGGAUUAAUACCCCAUAAUAUAUUUGAUAAGGCAUCUUAUUAAUAUUAAAGCUUCGGCACUUGAUGAUGGGUGUGCGGCUGAUUAGAUAGUUGGCGGGGUAACGGCCCACCAAGUCUACGAUCAGUAGCUGAUGUGAGAGCAUGAUCAGCCCACACGGGCACUGAGACACGGGCCCGACUCCUACGGGAGGCAGCAGUAAGGAAUAUUGGACAAUGGACGAAAGUCUGAUCCAGCCAUGCCGCGUGAAGGAUUAAGGUCCUCUGGAUUGUAAACUUCUUUUAUAUGGGACGAAAAAAGGGCAUUCUUGUUCACUUGACGGUACCAUAUGAAUAAGCACCGGCUAACUCCGUG